RNAcentral lists this transfer RNA (91 nucleotides) under Candidatus Babeliales bacterium. RNAcentral's name for it is "tRNA-Ser". It matches the Rfam family "tRNA". From Rfam's summary of the family: Transfer RNA (tRNA) molecules are approximately 80 nucleotides in length. Lineage: Bacteria; Candidatus Babeliae; Candidatus Babeliales. The record is from RNAcentral.
GGAGAGAUGGCUGAGUGGUCAAAAGCGCUUGCCUGCUAAGCAAGAGUCCUAGAAAUGGGGCGCGAGGGUUCGAAUCCCUCUCUCUCCACCA